GACAAACGCUGGCGGCGUGCUUAACACAUGCAAGUCGAACGGAAAGGCCCUGCUUUUGUGGGGUGCUCGAGUGGCGAACGGGUGAGUAACACGUGAGUAACCUGCCCUUGACUUUGGGAUAACUUCAGGAAACUGGGGCUAAUACCGGAUAGGAGCUCCUGCUGCAUGGUGGGGGUUGGAAAGUUUCGGCGGUUGGGGAUGGACUCGCGGCUUAUCAGCUUGUUGGUGGGGUAGUGGCUUACCAAGGCUUUGACGGGUAGCCGGCCUGAGAGGGUGACCGGCCACAUUGGGACUGAGAUACGGACCAGACUCCUACGGGAGGCAGCAGUGGGGAAUAUUGCACAAUGGGCGGAAGCCUGAUGCAGCAACGCCGCGUGCGGGAUGACGGCCUUCGGGUUGUAAACCGCUUUCGCCUGUGACGAAGCGUGAGUGACGGUAAUGGGUAAAGAAGCACCGGCUAACUACGUG
This 468-nucleotide ribosomal RNA is filed under the name uncultured bacterium. RNAcentral's name for it is "partial 16S ribosomal RNA". It matches the Rfam family "Bacterial small subunit ribosomal RNA", at positions 28 to 507 of the family's 1533-position model. The record is from RNAcentral.